UACAGAGGGUGCGAGCGUUGUUCGGAAUUAUUGGGCGUAAAGGGCGCGUAGGCGGUGCCACAAGUCACUUGUGAAAUCUCCGGGCUUAACCCGGAGCCUGCAGGCGAAACUGUGGUGCUGGAGUGUGGGAGAGGUGCGUGGAAUUCCCGGUGUAGCGGUGAAAUGCGUAGAUAUCAGGAGGAACACCGGCGGUGUAGACGGCUUGCUAGACCAUAACUGACGCUGAGGCGCGAAAGCUAGGGGAGCAAACAGG
This 253-nucleotide ribosomal RNA is filed under the name uncultured prokaryote. Its description in RNAcentral is "partial 16S ribosomal RNA". It matches the Rfam family "Bacterial small subunit ribosomal RNA", at positions 524 to 776 of the family's 1533-position model. The record is from RNAcentral.